UGCACAUAAAAAUACCUAAAUUUGUGAAGAUAAUAUACCCUGAGUGGAAAAAUAUUUGUUCCAAAUGAAAUAUUCUAUUCCGGCAGAUUAAUUUUACAAAACUUUAGUUUUUGCCCAAAAUUAUGUAAAAUUAGUAGUUUUGUGAUAAUAAACAUAAAAAUAUAAAACUAUAUGGAAAAAGUAUGUACCGAAUGAAAGAAUCUUUGUUGUGAAUGGAAAAUUCUACACCCUCGGAGUAAUUUUUAAGAUUUACACGUUGUAGUCAGCUGCCGCCGGACGGAUAAAUACCUCAUAUCGGUUUUGUUAUAAAAUGAGUUCCGGAACAGAAUUUUAUCUGAAAAUUUGACCAUAACGUAGAAGACAACUGCCGUUGCUCGGGUAAAUACCUCAAGUGGGUUUUUUAUAUUAAAUGUUCCGGAACAGAAUUUUUUUGGUUAAUCGCGUUAACUACAAAGUGUAAAUAUAAAAUAUAAAACAAUAUUGUCUAAUUUGUUAACAUUUAAUAGAAAAAAUAUUAUUUUUAUAUUAAGUUUG
This is a long non-coding RNA of Lucilia sericata (common green bottle fly), 534 nucleotides long. RefSeq lists it as uncharacterized. The record is from RefSeq and is a predicted model, not a curated record. The transcript is spliced from 2 exons. NCBI's taxonomy places the organism in Eukaryota, Metazoa, Arthropoda, Insecta, Diptera, Calliphoridae.